UAGGGAAUCUUCCACAAUGGACGCAAGUCUGAUGGAGCAACGCCGCGUGAGUGAAGAAGGGUUUCGGCUCGUAAAGCUCUGUUAUUAAAGAAGAACGUGGGUAAGAGUAACUGUUUACCCAGUGACGGUAUUUAACCAGAAAGCCACGGCUAACUACGUGCUAG
Molecule: ribosomal RNA, 164 nt
Filed under: uncultured bacterium
Lineage: Bacteria
Description: partial 16S ribosomal RNA
Rfam family: Bacterial small subunit ribosomal RNA
Source: RNAcentral